GAUGAACGCUGGCGGCGUGCUUAACACAUGCAAGUCGAGCGAAGCACUAAAGCGGAUUUCUUCGGAUUGAAGGUUUAGUGACUGAGCGGCGGACGGGUGAGUAACGCGUGGGUAACCUGCCUCAUACAGGGGGAUAACAGUUGGAAACGGCUGCUAAUACCGCAUAAGCGCACAGUACCGCAUGGUACGGUGUGAAAAACUCCGGUGGUAUGAGAUGGACCCGCGUCUGAUUAGGUAGUUGGUGGGGUAACGGCCUACCAAGCCGACGAUCAGUAGCCGACCUGAGAGGGUGACCGGCCACAUUGGGACUGAGACACGGCCCAAACUCCUACGGGAGGCAGCAGUGGGGAAUAUUGCACAAUGGGGGAAACCCUGAUGCAGCGACGCCGCGUGAGCGAAGAAGUAUUUCGG
This 411-nucleotide ribosomal RNA is filed under the name uncultured bacterium. Its description in RNAcentral is "bacterial SSU rRNA". It matches the Rfam family "Bacterial small subunit ribosomal RNA", at positions 28 to 421 of the family's 1533-position model. The record is from RNAcentral.